RNAcentral lists this ribosomal RNA (650 nucleotides) under uncultured bacterium. RNAcentral describes it as "bacterial SSU rRNA". It matches the Rfam family "Bacterial small subunit ribosomal RNA", at positions 42 to 683 of the family's 1533-position model. The record is from RNAcentral.
UCAGGCCUAACACAUGCAAGUCGAGCGGUAGCAGGAAGUGCUUGCACUUCGCUGACGAGCGGCGGACGGGUGCGUAACACGUAGGAAUCUGCCUGGUAGUGGGGGAUAGCCCGGAGAAAUCCGGAUUAAUACCGCAUACGCCUUACGAGGGAAAGCAGGGGAUCUUCGGACCUUGCGCUAUCAGAUGAGCCUGCGUCGGAUUAGCUGGUUGGUGGGGUAAAGGCCUACCAAGGCGACGAUCCGUAGCUGGUCUGAGAGGAUGAUCAGCCACACUGGGACUGAGACACGGCCCAGACUCCUACGGGAGGCAGCAGUGGGGAAUAUUGCACAAUGGGCGAAAGCCUGAUGCAGCCAUGCCGCGUGUGUGAAGAAGGCCCUAGGGUUGUAAAGCACUUUCAGUGGGGAGGAAAGGUUGAAGGUUAAUACCCUUCAGCUGUGACGUUACCCACAGAAGAAGCACCGGCUAACUCCGUGCCAGCAGCCGCGGUAAUACGGAGGGUGCGAGCGUUAAUCGGAAUUACUGGGCGUAAAGCGUGCGUAGGCGGCUACCUAAGUUGGAUGUGAAAGCCCCGGGCUCAACCUGGGAACUGCAUCCAAAACUGGGUGGCUGGAGUACGGGAGAGGAGUGUGGAAUUUCCUGUGUAGCGGUG